GUCCGCGCUGGCAGAAGGUGCGCGCGGAGUACCGCUCCGUCGGCCGCCACGUCGAGGUCGACCUGAUCGUGACCGGCGCGGACG
Molecule: transfer RNA, 84 nt
Filed under: Actinokineospora fastidiosa
Lineage: Bacteria; Bacillati; Actinomycetota; Actinomycetes; Pseudonocardiales; Pseudonocardiaceae
Also listed under: 1 other name
Description: tRNA-Gly
Source: RNAcentral